GAGACCCUGCUCAACAAGAGGGAUCUCAGAAGACAUACGAGGCUCCAAGGACCAGGUGUUGGACGAAAACGGGAUCCCGUAAUUCGCCGACACCAGCCAGAGCAGCCACGACGGGCCAGCUUCUCGCCCACAUCAAGGUCAAGACAGGUCGGACAAACCAAGCCUUACCACGUCAGUCAGGGCGGGAAGGAUUCACCAUAAACCGACAGUCUACCACUGCCACGUCCAUUCUGGACUCUCCUGGCUACCAUCCUCGAUCGAGAAGAAACUACCACCUAGGAUCAACGGCCGGAGGACAUCCUGAAGAAUGAGCGUGUGUGUGUGUAGAAUGACUCAAGAAUGAAGAAGUUUCGUGAGGUGGUCACUGUGUGGUGUUAAUCGGUCGACAUUGGCGUAAAUAAGAGAAGGAUGUAAAGAUGAAGCCUCCAUUUGACUGGUUUUCAAUGCGGCGUUCUUCAGCCCUUACAGCCUCAUUCCUCGCAUUGAAAAGGGGAAUGUUGUAAUGUGCACUUAUGUUGACCUUUCCAAAUAUAUCUAACCAAGCGCCACCUGCCCAGCCUUUGGUACGCAAGCCCUUAGAUCGGAUGUGAGCAACAAGGUGGGAGGCUCCAAGGACCAGGUGUUGGACCAAAUCGGAAUUCCGUAAUUCGCCGACACCAGCCAGAGCAGCCACGAAGGGCCAGCUUCUCGCCCACAUCAAUGCCAAGACAGGUCGGUCAAACCAAGCCUUACCACGUCAUAAAUUUAAUCUCAUAAAAUAGAAAUCUUUUUUUUUUUGUUACUUUCUAAAACAUACCUCGAGAUCCCAGAAAAUCGAGGCAUAACACUUUUAAUUCAAGCUAUUCGACGAUAUUAUGCACUCAUCGUAAACGAGCUCGAAAGCUACGGGCACAUUUGCAUUUUCUUAUACCAGCCGACAAUAUAUAGGAAAUGCAACGAAAUGCGAUUGCAGUGACGAAAAGCGCAAGUGCGAGCAUUCUCUUUUUUCUUGAGAUCACAGAUUCAUAGAUCACAGAACUUCCGCCAGUAUUUUGGAAUAGAAGAGAUAUCCAUCAAAACGUACGUAAAAUAUUAUCUUUAUAUGAAUUACAUUUUUACAAAAUCACCCUGGCAACAUUGUAAAAAAAUAUAACAAGACUUUUGCAAAAGCGCGAAAAGCAAAAAGCAUAAAAAGAAAUUCACUUUGUGAUCGCGCAGCGCAUAAAAUGUAUAUCAAACCAACGUUUCAAUUACAUAGUUCCAUUUGAAUUGCGCAAAGCAGCAGAGAAAAAAAAUAUAAUUAAGACAGCACCUGUGCUUUACGGUGUGAGUGUUUAUGAAGCUGCCCGCAAUGACUCGAGUUUCACUCAAAGCUCCGGAGUUAUUUGAUGGAAACCAGCAUCGCAACGUCGAUGCGCUUCAAGAAAGACCCUGAUGAAUUUACAGGCGAAUACGUUAAAAGCGUCGACUCGGGCACUCGAAGAAGAGCCUUGCUCAUAAAAGCUUUUUUAUAGCACGCCACUCGACCAAGGAACAAAAAAAAAUGCUAGAGCCAAAGUCAGAGGUAGAGACAGAGUGAUAUAAGGCUAUAGGAUUAAAAAAAUGUCGAUGCAGUCUCUGCGUCGCGGUGAAAUCGUCCGCUAGGCACAUCUGGAGCAACAAUAAUUACAAUCAAAAAGCUCAUCUGGAAAUUAAUUAUAACGAAAGAGUGAUCGGCGUAAAAUUGACUGGAAAGCACGGCGGGAAUGUCGACUGCGGCUGCGGGAAAAUCGAUGCGGAAGUGAUGCCGGAGAGGCGCUCUGCUAUUGUCGUUUUGUAUUAUGAUAAAGGAAAUUCAAUCAUGAGACUUGCUCUAUUUGUAAAAAUCGAAAAGAAAUCGCAUUAGAUUUAAAUUAAAUUAAUUUAAAAGGGAUUUUGAUAUUAAUUUAACUU
This 1911-nucleotide long non-coding RNA is filed under the name Nasonia vitripennis (jewel wasp). Its description in RNAcentral is "uncharacterized LOC116416330". Lineage: Eukaryota; Metazoa; Arthropoda; Insecta; Hymenoptera; Pteromalidae. The record is from RNAcentral.